This 492-nucleotide ribosomal RNA is filed under the name uncultured bacterium. Its description in RNAcentral is "partial 16S ribosomal RNA". It matches the Rfam family "Bacterial small subunit ribosomal RNA", at positions 29 to 507 of the family's 1533-position model. The record is from RNAcentral.
AGUGAACGCUGGCGGUAGGCCUAACACAUGCAAGUCGAACGGCAGCACAGUAAGAGCUUGCUCUUACGGGUGGCGAGUGGCGGACGGGUGAGGAAUACAUCGGAAUCUACUUUUUCGUGGGGGAUAACGUAGGGAAACUUACGCUAAUACCGCAUACGACCUACGGGUGAAAGCAGGGGAUCUUCGGACCUUGCGCGAUUGAAUGAGCCGAUGUCGGAUUAGCUAGUUGGCGGGGUAAAGGCCCACCAAGGCGACGAUCCGUAGCUGGUCUGAGAGGAUGAUCAGCCACACUGGAACUGAGACACGGUCCAGACUCCUACGGGAGGCAGCAGUGGGGAAUAUUGGACAAUGGGCGCAAACCUGAUCCAGCAAUACCGCGUGGGUGAAGAAGGCCUUCGGGUUGUAAAGCCCUUUUGUUGGGAAAGAAAAGCAGCAGGUUAAUACCCCGCUGUUCUGACGGUACCCAAAGAAUAAGCACCGGCUAACUUCGUG